CCAUGAUUUGAGGUGGGAGCCCAUGUACAAAUCAAAUGCGUUUUGAGUAAUUUACUUAUCAAACCAAACUUCCCACCAAAAUCCCAUAUCAACAAGAUAUUGAUUUUGUUUUGGCUCUCAUCGAUCUUAUAUAAUUGUAAUUCAAGUUUUGUUUGGAAUUCUAUAUAUUCGCAGUUUGAAAGAGUAACUGACAGAGGGUCUUUUUGCUUUUGACUAGAGCUACCUGUAUACAAGAGUGGAAGGAUGAGGGUCGAACUUUUAUGGUAACCACAAAGAACUGAAAAAGUGAAAGAACAUCAGGUGGGCUCUGAUAUAUUAUGGAAAUGGACAAGGAGAAGGAAUGUUUGACUAUGCCUCAAGCUUUGGGAAUUUGCAUGUAUUUUUGCUUCACAGGUGCUAUAUGGGGAUCAUUUUGUUUGAUUAAGAUUAUGAAGAGCAAUGAAGACCAUAAACUAUCAUUAACCUUGGUCGUUUACUUCAUUGUUGUUCGUCAUAUUUUGGUCAUUUUUUUCUUCGCAGUAACUACGAAGUUUUUUGUUGAAGUGGUGCAUGAAGUCAUAACCAGACAAAGAAAAGUUGAGCCUCCCUGGACUGUGGAGGCAGGGGAGUGUAAAUCCAUGGUUUAGUAGUCAAGAUAUGGAUGUUUGAACAGUUCAAAUCAUGGAUGACGUGAAAGCGUGUUGUGUGCUUGCUUGAACUUAUGUGUUCUAGUCUCUCAGCACGCGCUUUCGGCCCCACAUACAUUAGCAAUUUCUUUCUUUACAAUAAAAUUGUUAGUUAUUUGAAGAAAGAUGCUCAAUCCAACUUCUAAAACUCAUUGUCACAA
Molecule: long non-coding RNA, 826 nt
Organism: Prunus dulcis (almond)
Lineage: Eukaryota; Viridiplantae; Streptophyta; Magnoliopsida; Rosales; Rosaceae
Exons: 3
Source: RefSeq, a predicted model, not a curated record